UACGUAGGGGGCAAGCGUUGUCCGGAUUUAUUGGGCGUAAAGAGCGUGUAGGCGGCCAGGUAGGUCUGCUGUGAAAACUCGAGGCUUAACCUCGAGAUGUCGGCGGAAACCAUCUGGCUAGAGUCCGGAAGAGGAGAAUGGAAUUCCCGGUGUAGCGGUGAAAUGCGCAGAUAUCUGGAGGAAUACCGGUGGCGAAGGCGGCAUCCUGGACCGACAUUGACGCUGAUGAGCGAAAGCUAGGGGAGCAAACGGG
This 253-nucleotide ribosomal RNA is filed under the name uncultured bacterium. Its description in RNAcentral is "partial 16S ribosomal RNA". It matches the Rfam family "Bacterial small subunit ribosomal RNA", at positions 524 to 776 of the family's 1533-position model. The record is from RNAcentral.